AGUGAACGCUGGCGGUAGGCCUAACACAUGCAAGUCGAACGGCAGCACAGUAAGAGCUUGCUCUUACGGGUGGCGAGUGGCGGACGGGUGAGGAAUACAUCGGAAUCUACUUUUUCGUGGGGGAUAACGUAGGGAAACUUACGCUAAUACCGCAUACGACCUACGGGUGAAAGCAGGGGAUCUUCGGACCUUGCGCGAUUGAAUGAGCCGAUGUCGGAUUAGCUAGUUGGCGGGGUAAAGGCCCACCAAGGCGACGAUCCGUAGCUGGUCUGAGAGGAUGAUCGGCCACACUGGAGCUGGGCCACGGUCCAGGCUCCUACGGUAGGCAGCAGUGGGGAAUAUUGGACAAUGGUCGCAAGCCUGAUCCAGCCAUACCGCGUCGGUGAAGAAGGCCUUCGGGUUGUAAAGCCCUUUUGUUGGGAAAGAAAAGCAGCAGGUUAAUACCCCGCUGUUCUGACGGUACCCAAAGAAUAAGCACCGGCUAACUUCGUG
This 492-nucleotide ribosomal RNA is filed under the name uncultured bacterium. RNAcentral describes it as "partial 16S ribosomal RNA". It matches the Rfam family "Bacterial small subunit ribosomal RNA", at positions 29 to 507 of the family's 1533-position model. The record is from RNAcentral.